AGAAGCGGAAAUCUUUAAGAUGGGCCCACGUCCCAUUAGCUAUUUGGUGAGGUAACGGCUCACCAAGGCGACGAUGGGUAACCAGCCUGAGAGGGUGUACGGCCACGCUGGGACUGACACACAGCCCAGACUCCUACAGGAGGCAACAGUAGGGAAUAUUGCGCAAUGGACGGAAGUCUGACGCAGCGACACCGCGUGAGCGAUGAAGGUCUUCGGAUCGUAUAGCUCUGUCCUUGGGGAAGAAGGUCUUCGGACUUGACGGUACCCAAGAAGAAAGCCCCGGCUAACUACGUGCCACCAGCCGCGGUAAUACAUAGGGGGCGAGCGUUGUCCGGAAUUACUGGGCGUAAAGGGUGCGUACGCGGCCCUUUUUUUCAUAUGUGAAAGGCCCCGGCUUAACCGUGCGAUUGUGUUUUAAACUGGAGGGCUUGAGUGUCUGAGAGAGUAGUGGAAUUCUCAUUGUAUCGCUGAAAUGCGUAUAUAUUGGGAGGAACACCCCUGGCGAAAGCGACU
RNAcentral lists this ribosomal RNA (513 nucleotides) under uncultured bacterium. RNAcentral's name for it is "bacterial SSU rRNA". It matches the Rfam family "Bacterial small subunit ribosomal RNA", at positions 202 to 726 of the family's 1533-position model. The record is from RNAcentral.